Molecule: transfer RNA, 66 nt
Filed under: Cherax sp. HG-2014b
Lineage: Eukaryota; Metazoa; Arthropoda; Malacostraca; Decapoda; Parastacidae
Description: tRNA-Leu
Source: RNAcentral
UUACUUUGGCAGAAAAUAUGCGUUAAAUUUAGAAUUUAAUUAUAUAGAUGUCUCUAUAAGUAAAAA